UUUAAGCACAAUCAUAAGUUUCCGUGUCGAACUUUGAUCGUUUGUCUUAUUUGAAAUUUUUUUAUGGUUAAUAUUUUAUUAUUAUUAAAUGAUAAAACAUGAACAAUACUUUAUUUGUGACUUAUGUUUUUUUAUUUUUUUUCUAAAAAAAAUAAAUAAGAUAGACGAUUAAAGUUGAACACGGAAACUCAUUACUGCGCUUAAA
Oryza sativa Japonica Group (Japanese rice) is the source of this 205-nucleotide microRNA precursor. It matches the Rfam family "MIR812 microRNA precursor family". The record is from Rfam. NCBI's taxonomy places the organism in Eukaryota, Viridiplantae, Streptophyta, Magnoliopsida, Poales, Poaceae.